CCUACGGGAGGCUGCAGUGGGGAAUAUUGCACAAUGGGCGAAAGCCUGAUGCAGCAACGCCGCGUGAGCGAUGAAGGCCUUCGGGUCGUAAAGCUCUGUCCUCAAGGAAGAUAAUGACGGUACUUGAGGAGGAAGCCCCGGCUAACUACGUGCCAGCAGCCGCGGUAAUACGUAGGGGGCUAGCGUUAUCCGGAAUUACUGGGCGUAAAGGGUGCGUAGGUGGUUUCUUAAGUCAGAGGUGAAAGGCUACGGCUCAACCGUAGUAAGCCUUUGAAACUGGGGAACUUGAGUGCAGGAGAGGAGAGUGGAAUUCCUAGUGUAGCGGUGAAAUGCGUAGAUAUAUGGAAGAACACCAGUGGCGAAGGCGGCUGUCUGGUCUGCAACUGACGCUGAGGCUCGAAAGCAUGGGUAGCGAACAGGAUUAGAUACCCUUGUAGUC
This 439-nucleotide ribosomal RNA is filed under the name uncultured bacterium. RNAcentral's name for it is "partial 16S ribosomal RNA". It matches the Rfam family "Bacterial small subunit ribosomal RNA", at positions 338 to 795 of the family's 1533-position model. The record is from RNAcentral.